UCCCUAAUGGUCCAGUGGAUAGGACUCUGCCCUUCCACUGCAGGGGGCACAGGUUCAAUUCCUGGUUGGGGAA
This is a non-coding RNA of Odocoileus virginianus texanus, 73 nucleotides long. Lineage: Eukaryota; Metazoa; Chordata; Mammalia; Artiodactyla; Cervidae. The record is from the annotation of a RefSeq genome assembly.